UACGUAGGUGGCAAGCGUUGUCCGGAAUUACUGGGUGUAAAGGGCGUGUAGGCGGGACUGCAAGUCAGAUGUGAAAUUCCCAGGCUCAACCUGGGGGCUGCAUCUGAAACUGUGGUUCUUGAGUGCUGGAGAGGAAAGCGGAAUUCCUAGUGUAGCGGUGAAAUGCGUAGAUAUUAGGAGGAACACCAGUGGCGAAGGCGGCUUUCUGGCCCGUUACUGACGCUCAGGUGCGAAAGCGUGGGGAUCAAACAGG
RNAcentral lists this ribosomal RNA (253 nucleotides) under uncultured bacterium. RNAcentral's name for it is "partial 16S ribosomal RNA". It matches the Rfam family "Bacterial small subunit ribosomal RNA", at positions 524 to 776 of the family's 1533-position model. The record is from RNAcentral.